This 715-nucleotide ribosomal RNA is filed under the name uncultured fungus. RNAcentral's name for it is "SSU rRNA". It matches the Rfam family "Eukaryotic small subunit ribosomal RNA", at positions 827 to 1570 of the family's 1831-position model. Lineage: Eukaryota; Fungi. The record is from RNAcentral.
CGCGUGGUUCUAUUUUGUUGGUUUUUAGAACCGCCGUAAUGAUUAAUAGGGACAGUCGGGGGCAUCUGUAUUCAAUUGUCAGAGGUGAAAUUCUUGGAUCUAUUGAAGACAAACUACUGCGAAAGCAUUUGCCAAGGAUGUUUUCAUUGAUAAGGAACGAAAGUUAGGGGAUCGAAGACGAUCAGAUACCGUCGUAGUCUUAACUAUAAACUAUGCCGACUAGGGAUCGGACGAUGUUAUUUUUUGACUCGUUCGGCACCUUUCGAGAAAUCAAAGUGCUUGGGCUCCAGGGGGAGUAUGGUCGCAAGGCUGAAACUUAAAGAAAUUGACGGAAGGGCACCACCAGGGGUGGAACCUGCGGCUUAAUUUGACUCAACACGGGGAAACUCACCAGGUCCAGACACAGUGAGGAUUGACAGAUUGAUAGCUCUUUCUUGAUUCUGUGGGUGGUGGUGCAUGGCCGUUCUUAGUUGGUGGAGUGAUUUGUCUGCUUAAUUGCGAUAACGAACGAGACCUUAACCUGCUAAAUAGCCCGUUCUGCUCCGGCAGUACGCUGGCUUCUUAGAGGGACUAUCGGCUCAAGCCGAUGGAAGUUUGAGGCAAUAACAGGUCUGUGAUGCCCUUAGAUGUCCUGGGCCGCACGCGCGUUACACUGACAAAGCCAGCGAGUAUUUCCUUAGCUGGAAGCUUUGGUAAUCUCGUAAACUUUGCGUGC